GUCUCGCGUCCGGUUCUCCUCCCCCUUCUCUCUCUUCGCCGAGCUCGCCGCCGCCGCUGCUCGCCUCAUCCCCCUCGCGCCUCCACCCCCUAGCCUCCCCUUCUCCUCCUCCCGUCCUCUCCUCCGCCGCUCGGUCGCCGUGCCCGUGCUGCUCAACCCCCGCCGCCCCAUCGGCUGCUCCGUCGCCGUUCAUGGCAUCCGGGAGGCACGCGGCCGCGCCCCCUCCCAUCGUGCCGUCGAGGGGAGGAGCCAGGCGGAGCGCGCCGUCGCCACCGGCUGGCGCGUCGACGAGAGGAGGCCAGGGUUAGGGUGCUCUCCUCGUCGCGCUGCGGAUCUCCUGGCGCCGCCGGCUGCAGGAGCUGAAGCUUCUCCUCGCGCCGCCAGCUGCCGGGUUCGGAUCUCCUCCACUUUGCAUCGCUGGCUGAUGGACUAAGAGCUCAUCCACCUCGCACCCCGGAGCACUACUACUUCCUCCUGCCUCGAUGUGCUCCUACCACCUCCUGGUUUUCUGAUCUAACUGGCAUUGACUAUAGUGAAGCUGCAAUUGAGCUUGCUCGAAACCUCGCAAUUCUUGAUGGAUUUGAGCAAAUUAAUUUCCUGGUUGAUGAUAUCCUGGAGAUAAAGUUGGAGAGGGGAUUUGAACUUGUGAUGGAUGAAGGAACUCUGGAUGCAAUAGGGCUCCACCCUGAUGGACCUGUAAAGAGAAUGAUGUAUUGGCAGUCAGUGGCUAGCUUGGUUUAUCAUGGUGGCAUACUGGACCAAGGAUGAGCUAGUGCAGGAGGUGGAGAACUUCAACCAGAGAAAGCUGGGCCCCGCAGAUUAGGAUUCCAUAAUUUGAUGUUGAGGUUUGACUGCCACCAUUGGGGAAAGCCACUAACCGAGGUGGAUCGGCGACUGCCGUUAGCGCAUCUAUUCUGCUAGGAGGUGUUGCCGUCGACGAUGAGUGCCAGACCAUGCGCUGACUCAAGGACCGCCGUUCCGUUGGCCCGUUGUUUAGCAUGCGCCGUCACGCGGCACUGCCCCCGGCCAUGAACUAGGGUCGGUGGCCGAGCUCGUCGCCGUCCGCCUCGGUGGCCCGCUUCCUCGCUUGCUUCUUUGGGUCCCAAGCACCUGCCACCGGUGGAUGACGAGAUCCGCCACCAACCAUGUACCGGGGAGGAGCUCACCCUCGCGGCCUCUACAUGUCCCCAGGGAGGUCUCCGCCUAUGGAGCUUACUGAUGUGCCACCCCCAGUUCAUCGUGAUGUUUUUGCACGUGUCUUAUGCUUCAAUUGGGUGCCAAGGAACACUUGACCGCUGGAGGUUGUCAUUUACCUAGCCUGAGUCCUGAUGAUACUACACCUUUCUUUGUACCCCAUUAAAGGCUACCACCAUUCAACUCAGGCAAUGGCCGUAAAGAAAAUGAUGGCAACUAAUGUUGAAGACUUUGUAGUAGAGAUGACAACGCUAAUGCUAAAUAAAUCAUAAAUAUAAUAGCAGCAACUAAGGACUGGUGAGGUUGUUGGAUGGUCAUACAGUGUGAAGUCGUUGGAUUAGCAAACAACCAUUAUGCGUCGGGCUAUCUCUUUGUUUCAGCGUCGUACUAGCCAGCUCCUUAGCGAACAAAUGUUCGAUCCUCUUGAAUGAGCACUGUCCAGGGGAGGUCUAGAACGGUAUAAAGCAUGUGCGGGGUGUGGCAAAUGCUACUUUCGAAGACAAAUACCGGGGGCUACCAACCCCUGAAGGGAGAGACUGAAGGACAACCAGUUCGAACCGAUAAUGCAAAGGUUUGAGAAGAGGCUCACAAACUGGUUGGAGAAAUACAUGUUUCAAGUUGAAAAGAAAUCUCGCCGCUCAAACCCUGCCUACAUGCGUUAUGGGGGGUGUUCAAGAUGUCACAGGGCUUCUGCUAGAGGUAUGAAAACUAGUUAGGGACUUCUCGUGGGGUGAUGAAUUUGGGCAGUGAAAGGUCCACUUGAUGGCCUGGAAUAAAAUGGUCAAGGCGAAAGGCGCAGGACGAAUUGGCUAUAGGCACAUGCACCUUCUUCAAUCAAGCACUUUUGGUCAUGCAAGCGUGGAGGCUUUUCCCAAAACUGGAUAUUGUGUGUACCAGGGUUCUGAAGUCAAAAUAUUUUCCCAAUGGGCCGCUCCUUGAUACCAUUUUUGCUUCCAAUGCAUCACCUCUGUGGCAAAGGAUAGAGUUCAGGCUUGAAUUGUUGAAGGGAUUGUAUGGAGAUUGGAAAUGGGCAGAUCUCCCAAUGUCUCAUGAUCAGUGGAUUCCACGCCAACAAGGUAUGAAAGUCACCUCUUUAGCCUGAAGGACAAGAUUACGAUGGGUAAACCAGCUGAUAAACCCAGAGGACACACAAUGGAAUGCUGACCUGAUAUGACAGAUUAUCCAUCCUUACGACCGGCGAUUUGCAACUGUAGAUUGCCGUCGUGGAUGACUGUAUAGAUUGGCACUACGAGAAAACUGGGGUCUUCACGGUUACAAGUGUGUAUAAACUGGCACUCUGGCAGUACAGCUAAAGCAAGAUGGAGAUAAGGCAGAGAGCAGCGCCGAUGCAGGAACUGACUGGCUAGCAGUAAAUCUGGGAAACGAUCCGGAAACCAAAUGCACCACAGAAAAUUUAGCUGCGGAAUCAUUUGGCAUGCAAAAUAACCAAGGGCUCUGACGCGGUAGUCCGGUGCUCUGACGGAAUGACGAUCGUUUCUAUGGCAUGUAGAAUACCAAACUGUAUCACCACUGAGGAAUCUGAAGCUUGGGCGCCUCGACUGUGAGCUGAAUCUUGAUAACCGGCACAUGGUCGGGGAAGGUUCAGCUCUGAUUGUGCAGCGGUGGUGGUUGUAACACUCAUUCUGGAAAUUUAUAAAGCUCUCCUGCCACUAAAACGGUAUAGGAUUGUUGAUCAAUUAGAUAGAGCUAUUUGUCUGUGUGAAUGCAUACAUUUAGUUAUCUCUUAGUAUAUUACAAAGUUUUCAUCUAAUUACAUAAGUUGUUUUGUACCUGAGCCAGCUAGGAUGAAAUCUUGGUUUAGCUUUUUUUCUAAGAAACAUUUCACAUGCAUGUUUCAUCGAUAU
Molecule: long non-coding RNA, 3059 nt
Organism: Triticum aestivum (bread wheat)
Lineage: Eukaryota; Viridiplantae; Streptophyta; Magnoliopsida; Poales; Poaceae
Exons: 9
Source: RefSeq, a predicted model, not a curated record